AGGUGAAGAACUUUUCCUUUUCCUGGUGUUGGGUGCUGCCUAAUUUCUGUGCUGCUGUGUGCCCCUGUAAGGAUUGGUGAAAGGCUCUUUAGAGCUCCAAGGAGCUGCUGGAUCUGUACAGAGACUCCAACUAGUGUUUUCCCAGGGAAUGGCAAGACAAAUCUUACCUCAGGAGCAGGAAUGGCAAAUGCCACGGCAAAGAAUGGAUGCCAGCAAAUUUCCAGAACCCUGGAUUUCAAGGGUCCUGGAAGAUCUCCUGCUUCCAACCUCGCUCUCAACCUGACCUAGUCCAGAAUCACGUAUAAAUAGGUAAGUUUUGAUGUAAUGUUUUGUAAGUUGUUUUAUUUUCACUGCACCUGUACACUUUGUCUUCUUAGGUACGAACCCCAGCCCCUCAAACAUCAGCAGGCACAGCAAAUGGACACCCUCUCUUCAAGCCUGAUGUUAUUUAAAACACCUACACUCACUGGCAGGCUCCUACAUCACUUGGAAAAUGAGUAGGUGGCAACAUCACUAAGCCAUAAAAUGGUAUUUUAAAA
Molecule: long non-coding RNA, 539 nt
Organism: Prinia subflava (tawny-flanked prinia)
Lineage: Eukaryota; Metazoa; Chordata; Aves; Passeriformes; Cisticolidae
Exons: 3
Source: RefSeq, a predicted model, not a curated record